GACGAACGCUGGCGGCGUGCCUAAUACAUGCAAGUCGAACGCUGAAGGAGGAGCUUGCUUCUCUGGAUGAGUUGCGAACGGGUGAGUAACGCGUAGGUAACCUGCCUGGUAGCGGGGGAUAACUAUUGGAAACGAUAGCUAAUACCGCAUAAGAGUAGAUGUCGCAUGACAUUUGCUUAAAAGGUGCAAUUGCAUCACUACCAGAUGGACCUGCGUUGUAUUAGCUAGUUGGUGAGGUAACGGCUCACCAAGGCAACGAUACAUAGCCGACCUGAGAGGGUGAUCGGCCACACUGGGUAGGAGACACGGCCCAGACUCCUACGGGAGGGAGCAGUAGGGAAUCUUCGGCAAUGGACGGAAGUCUGACCGGGCAACGCCGCGUGAGUGAAUAAGGGUCUCGGAUCGGAAAGAUCUGUUGUAAGGGGAGAAAGAGAGUGAGAGUGGAAAGUUCACACUGUGACGGUAUCUUACCAGAAAGGGACGGCUAACUACGUG
RNAcentral lists this ribosomal RNA (495 nucleotides) under uncultured bacterium. Its description in RNAcentral is "partial 16S ribosomal RNA". It matches the Rfam family "Bacterial small subunit ribosomal RNA", at positions 28 to 507 of the family's 1533-position model. The record is from RNAcentral.